AGUAACAUAAGCUAAUAAAGCUAUUGAGUUCAUACCUCAACAAUACAUUCUAAUGUUGUUAUUA
RNAcentral lists this transfer RNA (64 nucleotides) under Trichuris sp. LO613. RNAcentral's name for it is "tRNA-Met". Lineage: Eukaryota; Metazoa; Nematoda; Enoplea; Trichinellida; Trichuridae. The record is from RNAcentral.